RNAcentral lists this ribosomal RNA (466 nucleotides) under uncultured bacterium. RNAcentral describes it as "partial 16S ribosomal RNA". It matches the Rfam family "Bacterial small subunit ribosomal RNA", at positions 28 to 507 of the family's 1533-position model. The record is from RNAcentral.
GAUGAACGCUGGCGGCGUGCUUAACACAUGCAAGUCGAACGAUGAAGCCCAGCUUGCUGGGUGGAUUAGUGGCGAACGGGUGAGUAACACGUGAGUAACCUGCCCUUAACUCUGGGAUAAGCCUGGGAAACUGGGUCUAAUAUCGGAUAGGAGCGUCCACCGCAUGGUGGGUGUUGGAAAGAUUUAUCGGUUUUGGAUGGACUCGCGGCCUAUCAGCUUCUUGGUGAGGUAAUGGCUCACCAAGGCGACGACGGGUAGCCGGCCUGAGAGGGUGACCGGCCACACUGGGACUGAGACACGGCCCAGACUCCUACGGGAGGCAGCAGUGGGGAAUAUUGCACAAUGGGCGCAAGCCUGAUGCAGCGACGCCGCGUGAGGGAUGACGGCCUUCGGGUUGUAAACCUCUUUCAGUAGGGAAGAAGCGAAAGUGACGGUACCUGCAGAAGAAGCACCGGCUAACUACGUG